AUUGAACGCUGGCGGCAGGCCUAACACAUGCAAGUCGGACGGUAGCACAGAGGAGCUUGCUCCUCGGGUGACGAGUGGCGGACGGGUGAGUAAUGUCUGGGGAUCUGCCCGAUAGAGGGGGAUAACCACUGGAAACGGUGGCUAAUACCGCAUAACGUCGCAAGACCAAAGAGCGGGACCUUCGGGUCUCUCACUAUCGGAUGAACCCAGAUGGGAUUAGCUAGUAGGCGGGGUAACGGCCCACCUAGGCGACGAUCCCUAGCUGGUAUGAGAGGAUGACCAGCCACACUGGAACUGAGACACGGUCCAGACUCCUACGGGAGGCAGCAGUGGGGAGUAUUGCACAAUGGGCGCAAGCCUGAUGCAGCCAUGCCGCGUGUAUGAAGAAGGCCUUCGGGUUGUAAAGCACUUUCAGCGGGGAGGAAGGCGAUGUGGUUAAUAACCGCAUUGAUUGACGUUACCCGCAGAAGAAGCACCGGCUAACUACGUGCCAGCCGCCGCGGUAA
Molecule: ribosomal RNA, 506 nt
Filed under: uncultured bacterium
Lineage: Bacteria
Description: partial 16S ribosomal RNA
Rfam family: Bacterial small subunit ribosomal RNA
Source: RNAcentral